AUCCAAGCCCUACCCACCCCCCUUCCUGCGGUCACCCACCGCGCGCUGAGGGGUUGCGCUCGUUAAUCAUUACUGGGCAGCUAGCUCGGCUUCCGACGGAGGAGCCGGUCUGGCGCGGUUGCCGGGUCUAGGUGCAUUCUGGGCGCGCGGAGCCGGGCGGCUGUCCCCACCAGCGGCGUGUCGUGGGGAAGUCCUACCGCAAGGCCUGCGGGGGCCCGCGCAGGCUCCGCGAUCAGCUACGGUAGACUAGAGAGGCCUGUCAGAGGGGAGCCUUCGGUCUCACCCUGACAACCCCCUCCACUGCGGGUCGCAGGGCACUAGCGAGCACCAGCUGCGCCUGCGCGCUGCGCUCCUGGCCAGCACCCGGUCGCCCCCGCCUCCUGGCUCAGCUGCGCUGGGCGUUGGGCUACCCUGAGGUCGGGUGGGGGGCCGAAAGCGGGCCUCUGGGGUUCCGACGCGGCCUGGGGUGGGUAAGAGGCGAGGAGGAGUGCCUGCCGGGACCCCUUGCUCCACGGAGGGCUGGGAGUCCCAGGGAACGUCUCGGCCGCUCUGCAGGGCCAGCAGGCUAAAAAAAGGCGGCUGCGAGGCCCAGGUUGCCAAUUUUGGAGCUGUGCUGCAAGCAGGCCGCCCCUGGAGGAGCGUGUUCAACGAAGGUGGGGGUUGCCGCGCGCUCUCCCCGCGCCUUUUUUGGGCAUCCCUUGGAACAAAAUUCCCAUAUUUCACUGGGUAUCAUCUAGUUCCAACUGGAGGAGGCCUGCGCUGGAGUUGAAGCCUCCGAUCCACCCCCACCUGUUACAGGCCUUCCCACCCCAAGACGUUCCAGUCACUGGGUCCUGGGGGCGAGGCAAGACGCUCUGCAGUAGAACUGCGAAGGGUAAAAUCUUUCAGCCUGGGAUCUCCAACAGAAGAGACAGGGAGGGAAGUCGGUUGUUACUUCGCUAUUGUAAAAGUGCACUACCUGGGCAUGAAUUUGGGAGGAUAACCGCAACACUUCUCAAACCUGAAGACAGAGACGCUUAGUUUGACCUAUGCUUCCGAAUCCUACAUCAACGGAAUGUCAGUUCUUCUCAGCACUUUCUAGAAAAUGCCAUUCGGACCACUCGGUUCUAAGAAGAGGGGCGUAAAGGGUCUUUGAAGCGUGGUGGCCAGGGUUGAAAUUGUGCCCCGAUCACUUCCUAAACGUGUGGCCUUGGUUAAGUCAUCUUUUGUAAACCUCAUCUUCCAUGUGGCAUAAUGAAGAUAAUAAAAAUAUCCACUUCAUAGGUUCUCUGA
Long non-coding RNA from Herpailurus yagouaroundi (jaguarundi), 1272 nucleotides. RefSeq lists it as uncharacterized. The transcript has 2 exons. The record is from RefSeq and is a predicted model, not a curated record. Lineage: Eukaryota; Metazoa; Chordata; Mammalia; Carnivora; Felidae.